GAUGAACGCUGGCGGCGUGCCUAAUACAUGCAAGUCGAGCGAACGGACGAGAAGCUUGCUUCUCUGAUGUUAGCGGCGGACGGGUGAGUAACACGUGUAUAACCUACCUAUAAUACUGGGAAAAUCUCGGGAAACCGGCUCUAAUCCCGUAUAAUCUUUUGCACCGCAUUGUUCAAUAGUAAAAGACGGCCUUGCUGGCACUUCUCGCUGCAUCCGGGCUGCAUGAGCUAGUUGGUAGGGUAACGGCCUUUCAAGGCUACGAUGCAUAGCCGACCUGAGAGAGUGAUCGGCCACACUGGAACUGAGACGCGGUCCAGACUACUACGGGAGGCAGCAGUAGGGAAUCUUCCGCAAUGGGCGGAAGCCUGACGGAGCAAGGCCGCGUGAGUGAUGAAAGUCUUCGGAUCGUAAAACUCUGUUAUUAGGGAAGAACAGAUGUGUAAGGAACUGUGCACAGCUUGACGGUACCUAAUCAGAAAGCAACGGCUAACUACGUG
This 497-nucleotide ribosomal RNA is filed under the name uncultured bacterium. Its description in RNAcentral is "partial 16S ribosomal RNA". It matches the Rfam family "Bacterial small subunit ribosomal RNA", at positions 28 to 507 of the family's 1533-position model. The record is from RNAcentral.